AUUGAACGCUGGCGGCAGGCCUAACACAUGCAAGUCGAACGGUAACAGGAAGAAGCUUGCUUCUUUGCUGUCGAGUGGCGGACGGGUGAGUAAUGUCUGGGAAACUGCCUGAUGGCGGGGGAUAACUACUGGAAACGGUAGCUAAUACCGCAUAACGUCGCAAGACCAAAGAGGGGGACCUUCGGGCCUUUUGCCAUCGGAUGUGCCCAGAUGGGAUUAGCUAGUAGGUGGGGUAACGGCUCACCUAGGCGACGAUCCCUAGCUGGUCUGAGAGGAUGACCAGCCACACUGGAACUGAGACACGGUCCAGACUCCUACGGGAGGCAGCAGUGGGGAAUAUUGCACAAUGGGCGCAAGCCUGAUGCAGCCAUGCCGCGUGUAUGAAGAAGGCCUUCGGGUUGUAAAGUACUUUCAGCGGGGAGGAAGGGAGUAAAGUUAAUACCUUUGCUCAUUGACGUUACCCGAAGAAGAAGCACCGGCUAACUCCGUG
RNAcentral lists this ribosomal RNA (490 nucleotides) under uncultured bacterium. RNAcentral describes it as "partial 16S ribosomal RNA". It matches the Rfam family "Bacterial small subunit ribosomal RNA", at positions 30 to 507 of the family's 1533-position model. The record is from RNAcentral.